AAUGAAAUCUCAGUUAAAAAAACAAAAAUGAAAAAAUAAUUCACAACAAAAAUUCAUUUUUCAAUAACAAUAAACCCGGGCCGCCUUUGGCGACCCGGCCACCACAUAGCCCUCGAAAAGUUAUGAAGGUUAAAAAAAAAAAAAAUCGACAAACAGAUUAAUCUACACAAAGUUAUGCUAUUUUGAAGUCUAAAACAAUUAAAUCUGGAAACACAAGAGAGUUUAGGAGCACGCUGGAAACAUUUUUUUUAAGGAAAUUGCAAUGUAGACCCUUUUAAUUAUCGAAAAUUGCAUAUACCACACCUUUUUCCAUUAACGAUGGAUGCUCUAACGAUGGAAGACUGUUUAGCUUCGCUCUGCACACUUGGAUGACCUGAUAAGAUCCGUUAAGAAUCUAAGGCUACUCUUUUAUCUCUUACAGUCUGGCCUUGAAUCUAAGAUUAAUCUAACGUACUUUGGGGAGGAACCCUAAUCAGAUUCAUAAUCUAAGGUUCUGCAAUUGUUGGUGUCUUCUUAUGCAGAAUCAAUGGCUAAUCUAAGGAAAACUUUGACUAGCACGGAUUGUAAUUCAGAGAUUUCAGACUCUUAACUCUAUCAAAAGCCACUGUACCUUUUCAUCCUUCAAUGUACUUUUUGCACCGAUCAAAAACUGCGGAAAGAAAGCAGAGCUGCAAUCCUUUGUGGUCUACUGUCCAUCUUCUCAUCUCCUCUUCUGCAGAAUAUACCAAUGUUCCAUCAGAUCUUUAAUUAUUUAACCAAUUUCUGCUUCUCUUCUUGUGCACAGACUGCAACCAGUCUGCAAAACCACUUCCAAAGAGAUCACUUCAAUGCUUUGCUUUAUCAUAUCACUCGAGCUGAUUAUCCUUUUAUUCAUCCUACUUACAUUAUGAAAGAUCUGACUUGAUAUCGUUGAAGCUGUGCUUUUCAUAGAAGUUACUUCCAAAGUUCCAGAUUGGUGUAUUGUUCUGUUUGCUAUGUGGCAGGUCUGUGCUGUCUAAUAAAGUCUUAAUACAGUCUCUUAUUUACCAGAGAUUGCAGCAACAACUGUGCAGGCUGCCUUUAAAGGCUACUUGGUAAUAUUUUUAAUCUCUUGGUGUGUUUGUUUUUUAAAUACAGUCUAAAUGAUAACGUGUUCCUAAUAAACUCUCAAUAUUAAGUACUUCCUAAUAUACUCUCAAUGAUAAGCACUUCCUAAUACACUCUCAAUGAUAACGUCUUCCUAAUAAACUCUCAAUGUU
This is a long non-coding RNA of Raphanus sativus (radish), 1238 nucleotides long. RefSeq lists it as uncharacterized. The record is from RefSeq and is a predicted model, not a curated record. Lineage: Eukaryota; Viridiplantae; Streptophyta; Magnoliopsida; Brassicales; Brassicaceae. The transcript has 3 exons.